This 253-nucleotide ribosomal RNA is filed under the name uncultured bacterium. RNAcentral's name for it is "partial 16S ribosomal RNA". It matches the Rfam family "Bacterial small subunit ribosomal RNA", at positions 524 to 776 of the family's 1533-position model. The record is from RNAcentral.
UACGGAGGGGACUAGCGUUGUUCGGAAUUACUGGGCGUAAAGCGCACGUAGGCGGAUUUGUAAGUCAGGAGUGAAAUCCCGGGGCUCAACCUCGGAACUGCCUUUGAUACUGCAAAUCUCGAGUCCGGAAGAGGUGAGUGGAAUUCCUAGUGUAGAGGUGAAAUUCGUAGAUAUUAGGAAGAACACCAGUGGCGAAGGCGGCUCACUGGUCCGGUACUGACGCUGAGGUGCGAAAGCGUGGGGAGCAAACAGG